AGUGAACGCUGGCGGUAGGCCUAACACAUGCAAGUCGAACGGCAGCACAGUAAGAGCUUGCUCUUACGGGUGGCGAGUGGCGGACGGGGGAGGAAUACAUCGGAAUCUACUUUUUCGUGGGGGAUAACGUAGGGAAACUUACGCUAAUACCGCAUACGACCUACGGGUGAAAGCAGGGGAUCUUCGGACCUUGCGCGAGUGAAUGAGCCGAUGUCGGAUUAGCUAGUUGGCGGGGUAAAGGCGCAGCAAGGCGACGAUCCGUAGCUGGUCUGAGAGGAUGAUCAGCCACACUGGCACUGAGACACGGUCCAGACUCCUACGGGAGGCCGCAGUGGGGAAUAUUGGACAAUGGGCGCAAGCCUGAUCCAGCCAUACCGCGUGGGUGCAGAAGGCCUUCGGGUUGUAAAGCCCUUUUGUUGGGAAAGAAAAGCAGCAGGUUAAUCCCCCGCUGUUCUGACGGUACCCAAAGAAUAAGCACCGGCUAACUUCGUG
Molecule: ribosomal RNA, 492 nt
Filed under: uncultured bacterium
Lineage: Bacteria
Description: partial 16S ribosomal RNA
Rfam family: Bacterial small subunit ribosomal RNA
Source: RNAcentral